UAUCCGCCAGAAGACUACGAGCGAAAAGCUUAAAACUCAAAGGACUUGGCGGUGCUCCAUACCGACUUAGAGGAGCCUGUCCUAUAAUCGAUACCCCACGCUAAACCUCACCAAUCUUUGCCAAAUCAGCCUAUAUACCGCCGUCGUCAACCCACCUCAUGAGAGAAAAAUAGUGAGUACAAAAGUUUAAUAACUAAAACGUCAGGUCAAGGUGUAGCUAAUAGAAUGGAAGAGAUGGGCUACAUUUUUUAGAAUAAAACAUACGGCAUGGUACUAUGAAACUUCUACCCAAAGGAGGAUUUAAUAGUAAAACUAACAAGAAAGUUAAUUUUAAACA
RNAcentral lists this ribosomal RNA (337 nucleotides) under Sceloporus macdougalli. RNAcentral's name for it is "partial 12S ribosomal RNA". It matches the Rfam family "Bacterial small subunit ribosomal RNA", at positions 866 to 1369 of the family's 1533-position model. Lineage: Eukaryota; Metazoa; Chordata; Lepidosauria; Squamata; Phrynosomatidae. The record is from RNAcentral.